UAAAAUAAAAAAUGGGAGAGGGUUGGGUAUGCCGCCAGCUUUCGGUAAGCUAGCGGCAUACACCAAUCAUAGGGCUGGACACAGGAGGGUAAGAGGGUCUUUUCCAAUUGGGAGGAGAGAAGAUGACACAUGCUGGCAGCAUGCCCAGGCUUU
Molecule: long non-coding RNA, 153 nt
Organism: Telopea speciosissima
Lineage: Eukaryota; Viridiplantae; Streptophyta; Magnoliopsida; Proteales; Proteaceae
Exons: 3
Source: RefSeq, a predicted model, not a curated record